GAAGUUUCACUAAGUACUAACAACUAUGGUAGUGUUCAUGCCCCUUUUCACUUCAAUUUUUGUUGAAUUACAUGUGGCUAGCUUAUUCAGCUGUUUGGUUAUUGAAAAACAAGUUGAUCCAAGAUUUUUAUUUGUCAUUAAUCUUUAAGUGGCCUUCCAUGCAUAUUUGCAUUUAACGUGUAAAGCAGUUAAAUUGGUUUACUUUUAUUUUGCUUCUACUUUUAGAUAGGCCAUAAUUUAUGUGCUGGCAGCUAAGCAUUUUUCAGCUCACUUGUUCUUGCAUUCUGCUAAUUGCUGUGCAUGGCUUUGAGUUGAUAAUUUAUAGUGCAUUUUGCCCCACCUUGCUUCCUUUUUAGAGAUUAUGGUGAACAAGUCAUGGACAAAAUAACAAGGCUAAUUUACCAACAUUAGUAACUUCAACUUUGAAUCUUUUGGAUGCAUGACAUAUAUGCAUCAUUUUCUUCCAUUGGGCUUUGUUUAAGGCCAAACUUUCUAUUAAAUGUCGUAAUAGUAGACUUAAGGGAAUUUGAACACACAAUUAACUGGAUUUGAUGCCAUGAAAAGCUCAUUGGUCAUGCCACCAGGUCAGUUGUCUUUCAGUUUGUCAUAGGCAGUACAAGACAUGCGUAGAUGUAAAUAUUAUACAUGCAUUUGAUUUUGUGUUUUGGCAUUUGGUCUGAUGAAAUCAAACUGGGGAUAAUAUUUGAUCUGUAGGAAAACAAAAAAGAAAUGAUCAUGAUAUUUGUAUUUUGUUGAUGCUGUGACUACUGCUUCCCUUGAUUUCUAUUAUGCUUCAUCUUUUCUUUUCUUAUUUUUUGUUAUGCUUCAUCUGAGAUAUAAUGACAAUUUCUGUUUCUGGUGUGCAGAUCCUCUGAACCAUGCCCUUCCGGUUCAUCAUCAGUGACUUGUGCUCAUGAUGUGUACUGUUUUGGGAAGGUCUUAUUGGAGCUCAUAACAGGCAAACUGGGCAUCAGUAAAUCAGAUGAUGCCACAACAAGGGAGUGGCUAGAACACACAUUGGCAUAUAUCAGUAUAUAUGACAAGGAACCAGUGACGAAGAUUAUUGACCCGUCUUUGAUCGUAGAUGAAGAUUUGUUGGAAGAGGUAUGGGCCAUGGCCAUUGUGGCCAGAUCAUGCCUUAAUCCCAAGGCUUCAAAACGUCCCCCAAUGAAAUAUAUUCUCAAAGCAUUAGAAAACCCGUUGAAAGUUGUGAGGGAGGAGAGUUACAAUUCAGGAAGGCUGAGAACAACUUCAUCUAGGAGAUCCUGGAGUGCUGCCUUUUUUGGCAGUUGGCGACACAGCUCAUCAGAAAAUGCUACUGUUCCAGGCCAUACUAUCCGCGAAGGUGUCGGUGGCUCAAAGCAGCCAGGAAGAGUAGGAUCUCAUGGCAGUUGUGGAAUUGAACAUACAUAUUCUAAUAAAAAGUUAUCCAGUGAAAUUUUUCCCGAGCCACUUGAAAUGCAAGAUAUAGAGCUGCAAGAUGAGCAUUAGCUAGCAUGGUGUUUUCAGAUGUUCAUUGAGUAUACUGUGGCCCUUGCAGUUGUGUGUUAAGAAUCAUAUUUGAUAGCUUCUCAUCGGGGAUUAAAGCAAUUGAUUGACAAGCUGAUUGGCCUGCCCGUGAAAGAUUUUUCUUUUUCUGACUGGCUAUUCUAUUGAGGCGUGACUGAGAAUUGAAAUAACACUGUUUCUGUUUGCUUGUACACAGACUCAUUCCUUGAAAUUUCAUAGAAAUGGACAUUUUUUUCAUGUCGUUGAUGUAAUUAUAUUGUAGACCUGUAUUUUUGCCUACAAAGAACUUUUUCAGCAAUUCAAUCACGCAUUCCUUAAAA
RNAcentral lists this unclassified non-coding RNA (1829 nucleotides) under Hevea brasiliensis (rubber tree). The record is from RNAcentral. Lineage: Eukaryota; Viridiplantae; Streptophyta; Magnoliopsida; Malpighiales; Euphorbiaceae.